CAAUAGCGUAUAUUAAAGUUGUUGCGGUUAAAAGCUCGUAGUUGGAUUUCUGUUAGGGACGACCGGUCCGCACUAUGUGCGUGUAUCUGGCUCGGCCUUGGCAUCCUCCUGGGGAACGGUGCUGCGCUUGAUUGCGUGGUCCGGUAUUCAGGACUUUUACUUUGAGGAAAUUAGAGUGUUCAAAGCAGGCCUAUGCUCUGAAUAGGUUAGCAUGGAAUAAUAGAAUAGGACUUUGGUUCUAUUUUGUUGGUUUCUAGGACCGAAGUAAUGAUUAAUAGGGACAGUUGGGGGCAUUCAUAUUCCAUUGUCAGAGGUGAAAUUCUUGGAUUAACGGAAGAUGAACUUCUGCGAAAGCAUCUGCCAAGGAUGUUUUCAUUGAUCAAGAACGAAAGUUAGGGGAUCGAAGACGAUCAGAUACCAU
RNAcentral lists this ribosomal RNA (421 nucleotides) under uncultured eukaryote. RNAcentral describes it as "bacterial SSU rRNA". It matches the Rfam family "Eukaryotic small subunit ribosomal RNA", at positions 592 to 1018 of the family's 1831-position model. The record is from RNAcentral.